AGGGCAAUAGCUCCAUGGUGGAGCUGCGUGCUUGGCAUGCACGAGGUCCUGGGUUCAAUUCCCAGUACCUCCA
Molecule: transfer RNA, 73 nt
Filed under: Camelus bactrianus (Bactrian camel)
Lineage: Eukaryota; Metazoa; Chordata; Mammalia; Artiodactyla; Camelidae
Also listed under: 2 other names
Rfam family: tRNA
About the family: Transfer RNA (tRNA) molecules are approximately 80 nucleotides in length. Their secondary structure includes four short double-helical elements and three loops (D, anti-codon, and T loops). Further hydrogen bonds mediate the characteristic L-shaped molecular structure. tRNAs have two regions of fundamental functional importance: the anti-codon, which is responsible for specific mRNA codon recognition, and the 3' end, to which the tRNAs corresponding amino acid is attached (by aminoacyl-tRNA synthetases). tRNAs cope with the degeneracy of the genetic code in two manners: having more than one tRNA (with a specific anti-codon) for a particular amino acid; and 'wobble' base-pairing, i.e. permitting non-standard base-pairing at the 3rd anti-codon position.
Source: Rfam by way of RNAcentral